RNAcentral lists this ribosomal RNA (290 nucleotides) under bacterium. RNAcentral describes it as "partial 16S rRNA". It matches the Rfam family "Bacterial small subunit ribosomal RNA", at positions 29 to 380 of the family's 1533-position model. The record is from RNAcentral.
AAUGAACGCUUGCGAUAGGCGUAACACAUGCAAGUCGAACGUUUAAAAAACGUGGCGAACGGGUGCGUAACAUGUAGGAAUCUGCCAAAGCAUGAAGGAAAAAUCCUUCUUAAAAGAUCAGUGAUCGUGCUUUGAUGAGCCUGCACAAGAUUAGAUAGUUGGUGUGGUAAUGGCACACCAAGUCGAUGAUCUUUAGCUAAUCUGAGAGGAUGAUUAGCCACACUGGGACUGAGACACGGCCCAGGCUCCCAUGGGAGACAGCAGUGAGGAAUCUUGGACAAUGCACGAAA